GAAACGAUGUGGGAAGGCCCAGACAGCCAGGAUGUUGGCUUAGAAGCAGCCAUCAUUUAAAGAAAGCGUAAUAGCUCACUGGUCGAGUCGGCCUGCGCGGAAGAUGUAACGGGGCUAAACCAUGCACCGAAGCUGCGGCAGCGACACCGUGUGUUGUUGGGUAGGGGAGCGUUCUGUAAGCCUGUGAAGGUGUGCUGUGAGGCAUGCUGGAGGUAUCAGAAGUGCGAAUGCUGACAUAAGUAACGAUAAAGCGGGUGAAAAGCCCGCUCGCCGGAAGACCAAGGGUUCCUGUCCAACGUUAAUCGGGGCAGGGUGAGUCGACCCCUAAGGCGAGGCCGAAAGGCGUAGUCGAUGGGAAACGGGUUAAUAUUCCCGUACUUGGUGUUACUGCGAAGGGGGGACGGAGAAGGCUAUGUUGGCCGGGCGACGGUUGUCCCGGUUUAAGCGUGUAGGUAUGUGUUCCAGGUAAAUCCGGUUCACUUUAACACUGAGGCGUGACGACGAGGCACUACGGUGCUGAAGCAACAAAUGCCCUGCUUCCAGGAAAAGCCUCUAAGCAUCAGGUAACAUCAAAUCGUACCCCAAACCGACACAGGUGGUCAGGUAGAGAAUACCAAGGCGCUUGAGAGAACUCGGGUGAAGGAACUAGGCAAAAUGGUGCCGUAACUUCGGGAGAAGGCACGCUGACACGUAGGUGAAGUGAUUUACUCACGGAGCUGAAGUCAGCCGAAGAUACCAGCUGGCUGCAACUGUUUAUUAAAAACACAGCACUGUGCAAACACGAAAGUGGACGUAUACGGUGUGACGCCUGCCCGGUGCCGGAAGGUUAAUUGAUGGGGUCAGCGCAAGCGAAGCUCCUGAUCGAAGCCCCGGUAAACGGCGGCCGUAACUAUAACGGUCCUAAGGUAGCGAAAUUCCUUGUCGGGUAAGUUCCGACCUGCACGAAUGGCGUAAUGAUGGCCAGGCUGUCUCCACCCGAGACUCAGUGAAAUUGAACUCGCUGUGAAGAUGCAGUGUACCCGCGGCAAGACGGAAAGACCCCGUGAACCUUUACUAUAGCUUGACACUGAACAUUGAGCCUUGAUGUGUAGGAUAGGUGGGAGGCUUUGAAGUGUGGACGCCAGUCUGCAUGGAGCCGACCUUGAAAUACCACCCUUUAAUGUUUGAUGUUCUAACGUGGACCCGUGAUCCGGGUUGCGGACAGUGUCUGGUGGGUAGUUUGACUGGGGCGGUCUCCUCCUAAAGAGUAACGGAGGAGCACGAAGGUUGGCUAAUCCUGGUCGGACAUCAGGAGGUUAGUGCAAUGGCAUAAGCCAGCUUGACUGCGAGCGUGACGGCGCGAGCAGGUGCGAAAGCAGGUCAUAGUGAUCCGGUGGUUCUGAAUGGAAGGGCCAUCGCUCAACGGAUAAAAGGUACUCCGGGGAUAACAGGCUGAUACCGCCCAAGAGUUCAUAUCGACGGCGGUGUUUGGCACCUCGAUGUCGGCUCAUCACAUCCUGGGGCUGAAGUAGGUCCCAAGGGUAUGGCUGUUCGCCAUUUAAAGUGGUACGCGAGCUGGGUUUAGAACGUCGUGAGACAGUUCGGUCCCUAUCUGCCGUGGGCGCUGGAGAACUGAGGGGGGCUGCUCCUAGUACGAGAGGACCGGAGUGGACGCAUCACUGGUGUUCGGGUUGUCAUGCCAAUGGCACUGCCCGGUAGCUAAAUGCGGAAGAGAUAAGUGCUGAAAGCAUCUAAGCACGAAACUUGCCCCGAGAUGAGUUCUCCCUGAGACUUUAGGUCUCCUGAAGGAACGUUGAAGACGACGACGUUGAUAGGCCGGGUGUGUAAGCGCAGCGAUGCGUUGAGCUAACCGGUACUAAUGAACCGUGAGGCUUAACCUU
This 1880-nucleotide ribosomal RNA is filed under the name Salmonella enterica subsp. enterica serovar Typhi. Its description in RNAcentral is "partial 23S ribosomal RNA". It matches the Rfam family "Bacterial large subunit ribosomal RNA", at positions 1067 to 2925 of the family's 2925-position model. The record is from RNAcentral. Lineage: Bacteria; Pseudomonadati; Pseudomonadota; Gammaproteobacteria; Enterobacterales; Enterobacteriaceae.